GAUGAACGCUAGCGGCAGGCCUAACACAUGCAAGUCGAGGGGUAACAGGAAUUAGCUUGCUAAUUUGCUGACGACCGGCGCACGGGUGCGUAACGCGUAUGCAAUCUGCCUUAUACUGGGGGAUAGCCUUUAGAAAUGAAGAUUAAUACCCCAUAGUAUGUGACUGUGGCAUCACAGACACAUUAAAGGUUACGGUAUAAGAUGAGCAUGCGUCCUAUUAGCUAGAUGGUGUGGUAACGGCACACCAUGGCAACGAUAGGUAGGGGCCCUGAGAGGGGGAUCCCCCACACUGGUACUGAGACACGGACCAGACUCCUACGGGAGGCAGCAGUGAGGAAUAUUGGACAAUGGAGGCAACUCUGAUCCAGCCAUGCCGCGUGCAGGAAGACUGCCCUAUGGGUUGUAAACUGCUUUUAUACGGAAGAAACCCCCUACGUGUAGGGGCUUGACGGUACCGUAAGAAUAAGCAUCGGCUAACUCCGUGCCAGCAGCCGCGUAAU
This 500-nucleotide ribosomal RNA is filed under the name uncultured Cytophaga sp. RNAcentral's name for it is "bacterial SSU rRNA". It matches the Rfam family "Bacterial small subunit ribosomal RNA", at positions 28 to 524 of the family's 1533-position model. Lineage: Bacteria; Pseudomonadati; Bacteroidota; Cytophagia; Cytophagales; Cytophagaceae. The record is from RNAcentral.